Molecule: ribosomal RNA, 450 nt
Filed under: uncultured bacterium
Lineage: Bacteria
Description: partial 16S ribosomal RNA
Rfam family: Bacterial small subunit ribosomal RNA
Source: RNAcentral
GGCCAGACUCCUACGGGAGGCAGCAGUGGGGAAUAUUGGGCAAUGGGCGAAAGCCUGACCCAGCAAUGCCGCGUGAAUGAAGAAGGUCUUAGGAUUGUAAAAUUCUGUCCUAUGGGAAGAAACAAAUGACGGUACCAUAGGAGGAAGCCCCGGCUAACUACGUGCCAGCAGCCGCGGUAAUACGUAGGAUGCGAGCGUUAUCCGGAUUUAUUGGGUUUAAAGGGUGCGUAGGCGGAAUGCCAAGUCAGCGGUAAAAUCGCGGGGCUCACCCUCGCUCCGCCGUUGAAACUGGCGUUCUUGAGUGGGCGAGAAGUGCGCGGAAUGCGUGGUGUAGCGGUGAAAUGCAUAGAUAUCACGCAGAACUCCGAUUGCGAAGGCAGCGCACCGGCGCCCUACUGACGCUCAGGCACGAAAGCGUGGGUAUCGAACAGGAUUAGAUACCCGGGUAUA